CGUCUUCAACCUGCUGCGGGCAGAUCCAGUGAAUGUGGGCAUCAAUCCCGCCGGCGGUGAUGAUGUUGCCUUCACCGGCAAUAAUCUCGGUGCCCGGACCGAUGAUGAUAUCAACACCGGGUUGCACAUCCGGGUUUCCGGCCUUGCCGAUCCCCGCAAUGCGGCCAUCGCGGAUGCCAAUAUCGGCCUUGAUGAUGCCGGUAUAAUCAAGGAUCAGCGCAUUGGUGAUCACGGUAUCAACGGCACCAUCAGCACGCGUUGCCUGUGACUGGCCCAUGCCAUCACG
This 286-nucleotide small RNA is filed under the name Thalassospira tepidiphila. RNAcentral's name for it is "5' ureB small RNA". It matches the Rfam family "5' ureB small RNA". The record is from RNAcentral. Lineage: Bacteria; Pseudomonadati; Pseudomonadota; Alphaproteobacteria; Rhodospirillales; Thalassospiraceae.